This 329-nucleotide long non-coding RNA is filed under the name Arabidopsis lyrata. RNAcentral describes it as "long non-coding RNA (ALYR_LNC002679)". The record is from RNAcentral. Lineage: Eukaryota; Viridiplantae; Streptophyta; Magnoliopsida; Brassicales; Brassicaceae.
UUGUCACAAACACUAUUAUUUUAACGGUAAAAGAGGAAUACACAUUUCAAGCAAAAGGGUAAGGAGCCAAGUGGCGUCAUAAACAACAAUUGCAACAAUCUUGCAUUCAACCUCUAUGUACUCGAUCAUGAUAUGCUUAGUUGCUGGUUUGAGGAGCAGAAAAUGAGAUUAUCUCAUGGUUGGAGUCAUGAGAAGAUGAUGUUUGAAAAAGUAAGUAGGUGAUAAAUUGGAUUGUAAAGCUAUCUUUUUACAAGAAAGGGAAAUUAACCGCUCAUGUCACCGGGUGGGGGACCCUGCCUACUCUCUUUCUCCUCCAAACUCGAGCUUUA